UGGCUCAGAACGAACGCUGGCGGCAUGCCUAACACAUGCAAGUCGAACGAGACCUUCGGGUCUAGUGGCGCACGGGUGCGUAACGCGUGGGAAUCUGCCCUUGGGUUCGGAAUAACAGUUGGAAACGACUGCUAAUACCGGAUGAUGACGUAAGUCCAAAGAUUUAUCGCCCAAGGAUGAGCCCGCGUAGGAUUAGCUAGUUGGUGAGGUAAAAGGGCUCACCAAGGCGACGAUCCUUAGCUGGUCUGAGAGGAUGAUCAGCCACACUGGGACUGAGACACGGCCCAGACUCCUACGGGAGGCAGCAGUGGGGAAUAUUGGACAAUGGGCGAAAGCCUGAUCCAGCAAUGCCGCGUGAGUGAUGAAGGCCUUAGGGUUGUAAAGCUCUUUUACCCGGGAUGAUAAUGACAGUACCGGGAGAAUAAGCCCCGGCUAACUCCGUG
RNAcentral lists this ribosomal RNA (443 nucleotides) under uncultured bacterium. RNAcentral's name for it is "bacterial SSU rRNA". It matches the Rfam family "Bacterial small subunit ribosomal RNA", at positions 20 to 507 of the family's 1533-position model. The record is from RNAcentral.